Molecule: long non-coding RNA, 422 nt
Filed under: Olea europaea (common olive)
Lineage: Eukaryota; Viridiplantae; Streptophyta; Magnoliopsida; Lamiales; Oleaceae
Description: long non-coding RNA (OEUR_LNC006826)
Source: RNAcentral
AUCAACCAAUCGUGAGAGGAUCAUGUAUCGAAGAUCUCUUGAGGAGAUGUGAAGUGGGAGAUGCCUUUUGUUGAUGAGGUGGCUGGUUGCCUCGAACUCCUUUCCUGUAGCAUGCAUAGCACCUUAUCUAGGUCGUGAAUGUUGACCUCUACUUGACACCUCGAUGAAAAUUAUGCAUCACCUUGGCUACCUUAUAUGUGGCCUCAUCUCGACCAAGUAGGAGGAUGGUGUGGAAUAUGUGCCUAGUUGACUUGCUGGCUAGCUGUUACGUGGUGGUGAUCUGGAGCUUUGUCAGAAGAGGUGUAAUAACAACAAUCCAUUUUGAACCAUUCCGCAAUAUUUCCUCGGUCGUUUGAUGUUAUAAAAUGCAUUUUCUCUUCUAGCUUUUCUUAGAUCUGGAAUUCUUUACCAUGUUAGCUUUG